GGCUCAACCCCCGGGUCUGCAGUGGGUACGGGCAGACUAGAGUGAUGUAGGGGAGACUGGAAUUCCUGGUGUAGCGGUGAAAUGCGCAGAUAUCAGGAGGAACACCGAUGGCGAAGGCAGGUCUCUGGGCAUUAACUGACGCUGAGGAGCGAAAGCAUGGGGAGCGAACAGGAUUAGAUACCCUGGUAGUCCAUGCCGUAAACGUUGGGCACUAGGUGUGGGGGACAUUCCACGUUUUCCGCGCCGUAGCUAACGCAUUAAGUGCCCCGCCUGGGGAGUACGGCCGCAAGGCUAAAACUCAAAGGAAUUGACGGGGGCCCGCACAAGCGGCGGAGCAUGCGGAUUAAUUCGAUGCAACGCGAAGAACCUUACCAAGACUUGACAUGAACCGGAAAGGCCUGGAAACAGGUCCCCCACUUGUGGCCGGUUUACAGGUGGUGCAUGGUUGUCGUCAGCUCGUGUCGUGAGAUGUUGGGUUAAGUCCCGCAACGAGCGCAACCCUCGUUCUAUGUUGCCAGCGCGUAAUGGCGGGGACUCAUAGGAGACUGCCGGGGUCAACUCGGAGGAAGGUGGGGACGACGUCAAAUCAUCAUGCCCCUUAUGUCUUGGGCUUCACGCAUGCUACAAUGGCCGGUACAAAGGGUUGCGAUACUGUGAGGUGGAGCUAAUCCCAAAAAGCCGGUCUCAGUUCGGAUUGAGGUCUGCAACUCGACCUCAUGAAGUUGGAGUCGCUAGUAAUCGCAGAUCAGCAACGCUGCGGUGAAUACGUUCCCGGGCCUUGU
This 782-nucleotide ribosomal RNA is filed under the name Arthrobacter sp. UYP3. Its description in RNAcentral is "bacterial SSU rRNA". It matches the Rfam family "Bacterial small subunit ribosomal RNA", at positions 606 to 1384 of the family's 1533-position model. Lineage: Bacteria; Bacillati; Actinomycetota; Actinomycetes; Micrococcales; Micrococcaceae. The record is from RNAcentral.